This 597-nucleotide long non-coding RNA is filed under the name Homo sapiens (human). RNAcentral describes it as "non-protein coding CA3-AS1:11". Lineage: Eukaryota; Metazoa; Chordata; Mammalia; Primates; Hominidae. The record is from RNAcentral.
AGUGGCCUCGCAGCUGGGGCAAGGGGGACAUCCCCGGCGCCGCGGAGCCGCGAGCGGAGCGAGCGCCCGGGGCGCACCUGAGCCUCCAGCACUCCCCGCGGCCGCGGAAACAUUUUCCUGGGCAUCUAAAAGUAUUGUGGACCUGAGACACUGUGCUUACAGGGCCUACUGGGUUGAUUCUAAAGAAGAAAGAAAAUCUAUAUGCAUGAAAAGAUGUCUUAAAAAGUUUUGAACUACUCAAAGUUAAGAUUUGGGGAAAUAGAAAUAGUAUAUAACUUAAGAAAAUUGCCACUGGCUGUGAACCCCCAUGGCAUUUUCUUUGCACUUUUUUGCUUCUCGUUAGAUUGUAUGUGUUUUUACCAUUUCACACAAACUUUUAAAGAUUAUUCCACGCCGUUAGCUCUGUGCUUCUAUUAGUGUCUCUAUCUCUCUUUCUCUCUCUCUUCCAUCUGAGUACAAUGGCUAGAAAAUAAUACACACUUGAAUGAAUAAAUGUCAUUUAAAUAUUUUAAUAAACAGAAGGAAUAGUACAAUAUAUUUCCCUUGACCAAUGUAUUGUGAUUGCUUUUUUCUUUCUUUUUUUUUAAAUCUUUUGCU